AUCCAGACUCCUACGGGAGGCAGCAGUGGGGGAUAUUGCACAAUGGGGGAAACCCUGAUGCAGCGACGCCGCGUGGGUGAAGGAGCGUUUCGGCGCGUAAAGCCCCAUCGGCAGGGAAGAAGGAGGACGGUACCUGACUAAGAAGCCCCGGCUAACUACGUGCCAGCAGCCGCGGUAAUACGUAGGGGGCAAGCGUUAUCCGGAUUUACUGGGUGUAAAGGGAGCGUAGACGGCUGUGCAAGUCUGAAGUGAAAGCCCAGGGCUCAACCCUGGGACUGCUUUGGAAACUGUGGAGCUAGAGUGCUGGAGAGGUAAGUGGAAUUCCUAGUGUAGCGGUGAAAUGCGUAGAUAUUAGGAGGAACACCAGUGGCGAAGGCGGCUUACUGGACAGUAACUGACGUUGAGGCUCGAAAGCGUGGGGAGCAAACAGGAUUAGAUACCCCAGUA
This 447-nucleotide ribosomal RNA is filed under the name uncultured bacterium. RNAcentral describes it as "partial 16S ribosomal RNA". It matches the Rfam family "Bacterial small subunit ribosomal RNA", at positions 329 to 792 of the family's 1533-position model. The record is from RNAcentral.